UUUCUUCUUCUCUUGUUUUUUGUUUUUUGUUUCUUUCUGGUUUUAUUGGUUUUAUUUUUGAACUCUUGUCUACUUUUUUCUAUUUAAACAAUGUAUAUUUUUAGAGUACAUGUAAACUGGUUUUUUAAUACACGUAGGACAUUGUGAACCAUGAGUGGUUAGGAGAAUAGUGGUAUUCUCAGUUCAUUAAGGUUUAAGUUCUAGACGGAAG
This 211-nucleotide long non-coding RNA is filed under the name Hordeum vulgare. RNAcentral's name for it is "long non-coding RNA (HVUL_LNC016966)". The record is from RNAcentral. Lineage: Eukaryota; Viridiplantae; Streptophyta; Magnoliopsida; Poales; Poaceae.